AAAUGAAUACAUGUACAUGUAGUUCAAAUCCAAGAAAAAAUAUCCAACAACAAGAACAACAUCCUUACUCAACCUUAGAUUUUGUCGCUCCUUAACACACUAUAAAGAAAAAAAUAAGUUGUUCAGAGUUCAAACGGAUGUAAUCACUUAUUAAAGUUAUUUCUCAUUUUGUUGUUUUUUGUUGUGCGUAACUCCAAAACAGUAUAAAUAGGAGAACGUUUAAGUCAUUUUCACAUUAAAAGAUAGAGACAGCCAUUACUUUACUUGGACAUUUUUUGGUAAUCGAAUUAAACAAGGAUGAAGGCUUAUAUACUUAUUUCCUUUGUGUUAUUAUCCGCCAUGUUGAUGACGUCAGAAGGCAAUCGGGUGUCAGUUAAGUGCAGAGCUGAGUGUAUGGAUGUCUACAACGUGUGCGCAGGUGCCUGCAAAAAUGGUUUCUUUGACAUGCCAGAAACUUGUGAAGGAAGGCCGUGCCGUAACACACUUCGGGACUGCUUUGUUACAAAAUGCGGUUUUUCAGAACAAUAGGAAAGAUAGUCAAUUGAAUUUGUUACAGUGAAUUGGAGUUCUUUGAUAACUAUUUUAUUGACAAAAUUAACAAUUACAUUCUCGUCAGUAUUUAAUAAAGUGCCAACAAUUCCAUUGCCAUAUGAUUUCUGUCUAAAAAAAUG
Molecule: long non-coding RNA, 671 nt
Organism: Ruditapes philippinarum (Manila clam)
Lineage: Eukaryota; Metazoa; Mollusca; Bivalvia; Venerida; Veneridae
Exons: 2
Source: RefSeq, a predicted model, not a curated record